Molecule: long non-coding RNA, 181 nt
Organism: Hippoglossus stenolepis (Pacific halibut)
Lineage: Eukaryota; Metazoa; Chordata; Actinopteri; Pleuronectiformes; Pleuronectidae
Exons: 2
Source: RefSeq, a predicted model, not a curated record
UCUCACUUGGCAUGUUUCAUGGUGUUUUCUUGGCAGCCUCUGUUGUUUUGAGACUCUGGUUUUGGACACAGCAGUGUGCUGCCGGAAAACUCCUGAUCCCUUAUCCAUAUAGGAUGUGUGUCAACAAAAGCACAUACAGAUCCUCGACCGUGGGUUUAAACUGUGGAGGAACUACACAGAA